RNAcentral lists this ribosomal RNA (247 nucleotides) under uncultured bacterium. RNAcentral's name for it is "partial 16S ribosomal RNA". It matches the Rfam family "Bacterial small subunit ribosomal RNA", at positions 523 to 769 of the family's 1533-position model. The record is from RNAcentral.
ACACGUAAGGGGCGAGCGUUGUUCGGAAUUAUUGGGCGUAAAGGGUGCGUAGGCGGUCGUGCAAGCCUGGUGUGAAAUCCUGGGGCUUAACCCCAGAACUGCAUUGGGAACUGCGGGACUAGAGUCAUGGAAGGGGAGUUGGAAUUCCAGGUGUAGGGGUGAAAUCUGUAGAUAUCUGGAAGAACACCGGUGGCGAAGGCGAACUCCUGGCCAAUGACUGACGCUGAGGCACGAAAGUGCGGGGAGC